This 337-nucleotide long non-coding RNA is filed under the name Rosa chinensis. RNAcentral's name for it is "sRNA RchiOBHm_Chr2g0161701". The record is from RNAcentral. Lineage: Eukaryota; Viridiplantae; Streptophyta; Magnoliopsida; Rosales; Rosaceae.
AGGUUCUCUCUCCUUCAGUCUCUCUCAGUCGCGACUCUCUUCUCUCCCUCCCUCCCUCCUUGUUCUCCUUCUCUAUCUCUUACUUCUCAAUCAGAUUCAGUUUUUCGUUUUCUUUUCAUUGGGUUUUGAUUGAGUUUCUGAGUUCUGAUAUGAUUGAUUUUCGGAUAUUGCUGUUUCUUAUUUAUUGGGUUUCUGAGAUCGAUUGAUACUUUGAAUUUCAAAAUUGGAUUGUUGCUACUUUGAAUUUUGAAAUUGGAUGGUUGCUGCAAUUGUUCAUGUUUCUAAGUCGGAUAUUGCUUUCUCCAUUUUUUCAUUGGGUUUCGAUUGGGUUUAUUGA